AAGGUUUCGGGUACCCAGUGCCCAAACUUCAACCCUAUGUUUUAACUAUACAUGUUUCUUUGCCGGUUUCGGCCGGCAGAAGUUUUCUCAAACUCCAUAAAUGUGUCUUCUGAAUCAACUAAAUAAAUUA
Molecule: unclassified non-coding RNA, 130 nt
Filed under: uncultured Lecanoromycetes
Lineage: Eukaryota; Fungi; Ascomycota; Lecanoromycetes
Description: sequence contains ITS1
Source: RNAcentral